AUCUGGUCAAGUGGGAAUGCUGAAUACUUUGUACCAAAGGGCCGUGCAUCACAACCUUCAUAGUGAUGCCAUGUUGCUUCGUUUGAGUAGUGAGUGUGUGUGUGUGUGUGUGUGUUUUUCAAAACACUCCAGGCAGCUUGUCUGUGGGUGUGAAUGAAUGAAUAUGGUCCCCUGUGAGUGUCAGUGAGCGUAUGUCACUGUGUGUAGUGGGGGUGUAAAUAUGAACGACACAUAAUAUUGAAGGUGGCGAUUCAUCUGAAUCAGUUCUGAAAUUUAAAAUCGUUCAUAACAGUUUGAAAUAAAAUAAUGCUCUUAUUUUCAUUCUGGAUUAGUUGGUGUAUUAGUUGACCUGCCUGUAUUCCAGUACUGUGAAAAUCAUUGCUCGUGUGCUCCAUGUUUUUUUUAUUUAUAUAAAUCUGAAUCAUACCAGAACAUUUGAAAGUUCGUGAUGCACUGAAUCAUUUCCUACAGACUACAGAGUAAUGAAAUUGAAAUGUUGUUAGGGCAGAGAUUUACACUUCUGGUGUGUGAGGAUUUUGUUAGGCUGCAGGUUGAAUGGGAUUAGAGGUGGUGAUUCCUGCAUGCCACACAGUUCUUACCUGACCUGGAAUAAUCUGGUGGCCUUCCGGUUUGUUUGUAUAAUCUCACUUCUAACUCACAUCACAGUGGGAAUCCUCUCUCCUACCUUCACCACUCUCUCUGUCUCACUCUCUCUAUACUCACUCCUGCUCUGGCCUUUUUUAGUCUGGUUCCCUUGCUUGGCUGUUCUUGUGGAUGGAGUUUGGUUCCUUUGUUUAAUGGAGUUUGUGUCCUUUGCUGGAGGACUGGAUUGGACACUUGGACUAUAAUUCUUUGCUCUGGGUGACCUGAUAGAAGUUUUGUUGAUGCUGGACGUUUGGUGAAUGGACACUUGAGGCAAGGAUUUCAGGCUGAUGGAAUGUGACCUCCACCUUCAAACCAUCCAUGCAGUGAACACACACAUACACACAAAUGAUUGCAUGUGGCUCGGGCAUUGAGCAGUCUUCAGGCUGACACACAGAGAGCUUUGAGAGUUUAGGGCCUUGCUCAAAGGUCCAAACACUGGCAGGUAUCAAACCCACAAACAUGUCAAUAGUUUUUUUUUUAAAUAAAUUUAUUUAUAUUUUCUUUUCUAUUUAUUCCCGAAUUUACACGGUCAAUAACCAAACCCACUCAUUAGGACUCCCCCUAUGACUAGUAAUGCCCCAACACCAGGAGGGUAAAGACUAGCACAUGCCUUCUCCGACACAUGUAAAGUCAGCCGCCGCUUCUUUUCAAACUGCUGCUGAUACAGUAGUGACUUGGUUUCCAAUACAUCAGCUCACAGAUGCAUCGUGCUGAUCAACAUCAUGAUGUGGGGAGAGAGCGCCAUCAACCCACCCAGAGAGAGCAAGGCCAAUUGUGCUCUCUCUGGGCUCCGGUAGCCGAUGGUAAGCUACAUGAACAGGAUUCGAACCAGCGAUCUCCUGAUCAUAGUGGCAGCACUUAGCCCGCAGGACCACUCGGAAAUAACUAAGUAAAAAACUUUACAGAACUUUUAAAGGGUCUGUGACACAUAUGUCACUAAGGGUUCUUUUGGGUUAACUUUGGUAGAUAUGUACUAGAAACCUAUCUGGUAUUUGCACAGAAUUACCCUGCUGAAAAUGCCAGCUCAGGUUCAGCUAAGUGGUUGGAAAACUAGAAAUCUGGGUCUAUCUUACCAGCUCUUAACUACCAUAGUGAAUGUUGCAUUUGAUUUUGAUGUUAAAUUCAGUGUUUUUUCAUUUAUUCAAAAUCUUCUGCAUUGCGUUACUAAUACUAACAUGAUUCAAACUUUUAAAGCAUUAAAAAAAACAAAAAAACAUGCAAUUGUUUAAAAACCAAAAAUUGGUAAACAACCAGAAUAUAGUUCAUAUUUUAGAUUUUUCAAAGUUGCACUUCUUGCUUGGAUGACAGUUUUGCACAUCUUGGCUGGAUUUUCUCAGUCAGCUUUAUGAGGUAGAGUCACCUGGAAUUCAGGCUUUCAGUUAAAGCUGUGCUUUGCAAGAGAUAAUAACUUGAAUUUCUUGUCAUCUUAAUGUGUUUGGGAGCAUCAGUUGUAAAGAUGUGAAGAGGUUGAUAGAGUUGAUAUACAGUGAAUAGCCCUGUUUGUUUAAUGUUCUAAUCCAUAUUAUCGCAAUAAUUACUCAUCUAAAAAAAUAAAAAAAUACUUUAAGAAAUGAACGUCAGGCCAACUGGUUUUUAAGAACUUUGAAUGAAACUGGCUCUUAUCAGGACCACCCCAGGAAAGGAAGACCAAGAGUUACCUCUGUUGCACAGGAUAUGUUCAUCAGAGUUACUUACCAUCCUCAGAAACUUUUUUUUUAUUGUAGCACAAGUUGCUGCAGUGUCGUCUAUCUGCCAGCAGAUGACACUGUGGUCUUCUGUGUAGUCACACUCGGGGAACUCCUUUAGUAAAGGAGUUUUUCUGUCAGUUUCUGAAAUCAGAGACCUUUAUAUAUUCUGAUUUUGGUUAUUUCAGGCAACUCCAUUACAUCAUCAUUAGGUCUAUUGUUUUAUUCAUAGUUUUUCAAUAAUACCAGCUAAUGAAAAGCUGUCAGGCUAAACUUAUGCACUCUGCUAUUCUAUCACUUUAUCAUUUAACCUAUUUUCAGGUUUUGUCCACAAUAAAUGAUGACCACUACACUCUGGCCCCAGUGUGUACCUGCCACAACCCUGAAAGAUAAGUCACUGGAGAGGUGCAGUCUGCGCUGGUCUCCAUGGUAACGCAGGCAUUGGGCUGACAGGAGCACCGUGUCACAGCGAGCGGGGCUGCACUCUGCAGCUCCGACUCAUCCUAUUUAAAGAAAAUAAACGAGUGAGUGACUGCAGCUUAAUUCUGCCUCUUCCAUUUCUUUUCACGCAGCUCUAAGAUUAGAACAGCUGGAGGCCGCUGCAGCUCGAGUGAUUAGUGGACAUGAUCCGCACAUCGGCCAGCGUGUGUGUGCUGGUGUUUUGAGUAGCCGUGCCACCCUCUUCCAUUAUGUCUUGUAUUUAAACCUGUGAUUAUCAGGGGAAGGGGUGCCCAGAAGUUCCCUGAGUUUGUUCUAGACCUCUGAACAGCCCUACUAUCAAUAACUACUGGAAUAAUACAGUGUUCUUUUGAAAGCCAUCUUCCACUGGUGGAAAAGGGUGCAGGGUAAAUUACCCACUGAUCCAGGCUGCCACCAGACUGUGGUGCAGCACAUUGGAGGAAAAAUGAGGUUAAUGCUUUGCUCAGAAGCACAACAGCCAUGAUCAGGGGGUGAGAGCACCAACUGAUCCAGUUGUUUUGAGUCAGCAGGUCUCCAGGCACUACUAUAGAGCUGUAAUCAGCUGAUGAGCUUUGCCUCCACUGCCACAAAACUUUAUGGAAGUUUUGCUGUGUUUAGAUUUUACUCAUUCAC
Molecule: long non-coding RNA, 3422 nt
Organism: Astyanax mexicanus (Mexican tetra)
Lineage: Eukaryota; Metazoa; Chordata; Actinopteri; Characiformes; Acestrorhamphidae
Exons: 2
Source: RefSeq, a predicted model, not a curated record